ACCUGAUGCAGCAACGCCGCGUGAGGGAUGACGGCCUUCGGGUUGUAAACCUCUUUUAGUAGGGAAGAAGCGAAAGUGACGGUACCUGCAGAAAAAGCACCGGCUAACUACGUGCCAGCAGCCGCGGUAAUACGUAGGGUGCAAGCGUUGUCCGGAAUUAUUGGGCGUAAAGAGCUCGUAGGCGGUUUGUCGCGUCUGCUGUGAAAUCUGGGGGCUCAACCCCCAGCCUGCAGUGGGUACGGGCAGACUAGAGUGCGGUAGGGGAGAUUGGAAUUCCUGGUGUAGCGGUGGAAUGCGCAGAUAUCAGGAGGAACACCGAUGGCGAAGGCAGAUCUCUGGGCCGUAACUGACGCUGAGGAGCGAAAGCAUGGGGAGCGAACAGGAUUAGAUACCCUGGUAGUCCAUGCCGUAAACGUUGGGAACUAGAUGUGGGGACCAUUCCACGGUCUCCGUGUCGCAGCUAACGCAUUAAGUUCCCCGCCUGGGGAGUACGGCCGCAAGGCUA
This 505-nucleotide ribosomal RNA is filed under the name uncultured Actinomycetes bacterium. RNAcentral describes it as "bacterial SSU rRNA". It matches the Rfam family "Bacterial small subunit ribosomal RNA", at positions 381 to 896 of the family's 1533-position model. The record is from RNAcentral. Lineage: Bacteria; Bacillati; Actinomycetota; Actinomycetes.